Molecule: ribosomal RNA, 750 nt
Filed under: uncultured bacterium
Lineage: Bacteria
Description: bacterial SSU rRNA
Rfam family: Bacterial small subunit ribosomal RNA
Source: RNAcentral
CACCAGCCUAUCANUGCAGUCGACGAGAGACCUUCGGGUCUCUAGUGGCGAACGGGUGAGUAAUACGUAGGGAACCUCCCCUGCGCACCGGGAAUACGCUCUGGAAACGGAGAACAAAUCCCCAUGUACAGGAAGGAGGCAUCUUCUUUCUGUGAAACAUCCUUUAGGGGAUGGGGCGCGGAUGGACCUGCGGUGCAUUAGUUGGUUGGCGGGGUAAAGGCCCACCAAGACGAUGAUGCAUAGCCGGCCUGAGAGGGCGGACGGCCACAUUGGGACUGAGACACGGCCCAGACUCCUGCGGGAGGCAGCAGUAGGGAAUUUUCGUCAAUGGGCGCAAGCCUGAACGAGCGAUGCCGCGUGAGUGAAGAAGGCCUUCGGGUCGUAAAGCUCUGUUGCGGGGGAAAAAAGGCAGCAUCAGGAAAUGGGUGCUGACUGAUGGUGCCCCGCCAGAAAGUCACGGCUAACUACGUGCCAGCAGCCGCGGUAAUACGUAGGGUGCGAGCGUUAAUCGGAAUUACUGGGCGUAAAGGGUGCGCAGGCGGUUGAGUAAGACAGAUGUGAAAUCCCCGAGCUUAACUCGGGAAUGGCAUAUGUGACUGCUCGACUAGAGUGUGUCAGAGGGAGGUGGAAUUCCACGUGUAGCAGUGAAAUGCGUAGAUAUGUGGAAGAACACCGAUGGCGAAGGCAGCCUCCUGGGACAUAACUGACGCUCAGGCACGAAAGCGUGGGGAGCAAACAGGAUUAAAUACC